UAGCCUAGUGGUUAAGGCUAAGGAUUGCCAAUCCGGAGACGGCGGGUUCGAUUCCCGU
Molecule: non-coding RNA, 58 nt
Organism: Aedes albopictus (Asian tiger mosquito)
Lineage: Eukaryota; Metazoa; Arthropoda; Insecta; Diptera; Culicidae
Source: Rfam